UCGUGGGGCUCCGGCCCCGUCGAGAUAUCACCCUCGCCUUUUUCGAACACCGUUCCGUUUCCUCGGCAGGCCCGCCUGCCAACGGGGACCCCAACCAAACCCUUUUGCGUACCUGCAACCGUCUGGGAAACGAAGCAAAACAAUCA
This 146-nucleotide unclassified non-coding RNA is filed under the name uncultured Ascomycota. RNAcentral describes it as "sequence contains ITS1". Lineage: Eukaryota; Fungi; Ascomycota. The record is from RNAcentral.